GAGUAAUGCUUGGGAAUAUGCCUUAUGGUGGGGGACAACAGUUGGAAACGACUGCUAAUACCGCAUGAUGUCUACGGACCAAAGUGGGGGACCUUCGGGCCUCACGCCAUAAGAUUAGCCCAAGUGGGAUUAGCUAGUUGGUGAGGUAAUGGCUCACCAAGGCGACGAUCCCUAGCUGGUUUGAGAGGAUGAUCAGCCACACUGGGACUGAGACACGGCCCAGACUCCUACGGGAGGCAGCAGUGGGGAAUAUUGCACAAUGGGCGCAAGCCUGAUGCAGCCAUGCCGCGUGUGUGAAGAAGGCCUUCGGGUUGUAAAGCACUUUCAGUAAGGAGGAAAGGUUAAGUGUUAAUAGCGCUUAGCUGUGACGUUACUUACAGAAGAAGCACCGGCUAACUCCGUGCCAGCAGCCGCGGUAAUACGGAGGGUGCGAGCGUUAAUCGGAAUUACUGGGCGUAAAGCGUACGCAGGCGGUUUGUUAAGCGAGAUGUGAAAGCCCCGGGCUCAACCUGGGAACUGCAUUUCGAACUGGCAAACUAGAGUGUGAUAGAGGGUGGUAGAAUUUCAGGUGUAGCGGUGAAAUGCGUAGAGAUCUGAAGGAAUACCGAUGGCGAAGGCAGCCACCUGGGUCAACACUGACGCUCAUGUACGAAAGCGUGGGGAGCAAACAGGGAUUAGAUACCCUGGUAGUCCACGCCGUAAACGAUGUCUACUAGAAGCUCGGGUCUUCGGACUUGUUUUUCAAAGCUAACGCAUU
This 757-nucleotide ribosomal RNA is filed under the name Pseudoalteromonas shioyasakiensis. RNAcentral's name for it is "bacterial SSU rRNA". It matches the Rfam family "Bacterial small subunit ribosomal RNA", at positions 108 to 861 of the family's 1533-position model. The record is from RNAcentral. Lineage: Bacteria; Pseudomonadati; Pseudomonadota; Gammaproteobacteria; Alteromonadales; Pseudoalteromonadaceae.